Culex pipiens pallens (northern house mosquito) is the source of this 1279-nucleotide long non-coding RNA. RefSeq lists it as uncharacterized. The transcript has 4 exons. The record is from RefSeq and is a predicted model, not a curated record. Lineage: Eukaryota; Metazoa; Arthropoda; Insecta; Diptera; Culicidae.
UCGACUUUUCCCUUGAUUUCAUAGUGAAAAUCACGUGAGAUUGAAAUGUAUUGGUUCUUGAAGGUGUUUGAUGAAAAAAAAAUCAUUCGUAAGAUGGCGACGGACGAAGACGGUCCAAUUUGCGUAUCCUUAUAUUGAAAUAAUUCUUUUACAAAAGAAUCGAUAUUUUUUGUGUAUAAAACUUAAAUUAAAUCGUACUAGAACUUUUUGGAAUUAAAACUGCGGCUAAAAGUUGGCUCCUGAUUUUUUUCUCAACACUGACGCUGUAUUGACCGAUUGAUCCGUUAACUUCGAAAUCUGGCUGCGGUAUGAUUCGCGUUCCUAAACACACAACUUCCGUCGGCAGUUUCGUGACGCGGUGCUGGGCGACAUGGCUUCUCGUCACCGUGCCCAAGGGCACUCGAUCCAGAUCAUCAAGGUCGAGUUGGUGGAGGCCUCCGAGAACCGUCGUCAUGCAGUUUCACGGCUUCAAGUAGUAAAACUUAUUUCAAAAUAAAUCAAAAAAAUUAUGCAAUAUUCACAUCACAUGAAAAUUUCGGGAAAGCCAUUGCAUUUAUACUACAAAAUCAUUUGAAAUUCAUGUGCACACCAUUCAAAAGCCAUGUGAGCAUUCACGUCAAACUCACGUGUUUUGCAUUUAGAUUUGCCGGUUCACGCGAUGGAUUUUUUUCAAGGAAUUACACAUGACAUUCACAUGCUAAGACUGCGGUCGAUGUUUGCGCCCGGUCACGGAAAUUUCUAACAGAGUUGGUUCUGCUAGAAUCCUGCUAGAAUCAUUCUAACAGGCUUGCUAGAUUUCUGUAAGAAUUUUGUGAGAACAUUCUGUCAGAAGCAAAUCUGUCGAAAAUGAUGUCAUUUCGCCAAAUCACGUUGGGGCGAAUGUGGUUACCGCCAUUUUGUUAAUGAACUUGUUCAAUCAAGUUUACUUUUCUCGAGAGUUGCCACGGAAGAAGCCUAAUUUUUGAAUUGUAUCAAGAUAAUAAUAAAAGCUCGAAAUGUCCCAAACAAGCGGAAUCCAGAUCGCAGUUCACGGUGGCCGGGGCACAGCUUCCCAUCGACGACGACACGUGGAGCAUCCUAGGAAACAACAAAAUUAUAAAUGUUCCACCACGGAAUUUUCAUCUGGAGACAACACCGGCAGGAAGAGUGAAUAAAAGCGUCCUUUUCAACUCCACCAAAAUACGAGCAACGAAGAUUGAAAGUGCCCAAGUGAACAGUAUAAAGUGUGUGCAUAUUGUAAGAUGUGAUUUGAUUGAAUAAAAAAAAAUAAUUGGUUUUA